AGCUAAUGAACUUGUAUAAGUGUAUGUUUUGAAAGCAUAAAAAAGAAUCCAUCUUCUAUUAGCUU
RNAcentral lists this transfer RNA (65 nucleotides) under Curculionoidea sp. 26 KM-2017. Its description in RNAcentral is "tRNA-Ser". Lineage: Eukaryota; Metazoa; Arthropoda; Insecta; Coleoptera. The record is from RNAcentral.